UUGGAGGGCAAGUCUGGUGCCAGCAGCCGCGGUAAUUCCAGCUCCAAUAGCGUAUAUUAAAGUUGUUGCAGUUAAAAAGCUCGUAGUUGAAUUUCGGGAUCAAUGUUUCGGUCAUGCCGUUGGUAUGUACUGAUAUUAUUGGUUUCUCACCUUCUAAAGAACCGUAAUGCCAUUAAUUUGGUGUCACGGGGAAUUAGGACUGUUACCUUGAAAAAAUUAGAGUGUUUAAGGCAGGCUCACGCUUGAAUACAUUAGCAUGGAAUAAUGAAAUAGGACAUCCGAUUCUAUUUUGUUGGUUUCUAGGAUCGAUGUAAUGAUUAAUAGGGAUAGUUGGGGGCAUUAGUAUUCAAUUGUCAGAGGUGAAAUUCUUGGAUUUAUUGAAGACUAACUACUGCGAAAGCAUUUGCCAAGGAUGUUUUCAUUAAUCAAGAACGAAAGUUAGGGGAUCGAAGACGAUCAGAUACCGUCGUAGUCUUAACCAUAAACUAUGCCGACUAGGGAUCGGAUGAUGUUAAUUUUUUAAUGACUCAUUCGGCGCCUUACGGGAAAC
Molecule: ribosomal RNA, 550 nt
Filed under: uncultured Funneliformis
Lineage: Eukaryota; Fungi; Glomeromycota; Glomeromycetes; Glomerales; Glomeraceae
Description: SSU rRNA
Rfam family: Eukaryotic small subunit ribosomal RNA
Source: RNAcentral